This is a long non-coding RNA of Lathyrus oleraceus (garden pea), 651 nucleotides long. RefSeq lists it as uncharacterized. The transcript has 3 exons. The record is from RefSeq and is a predicted model, not a curated record. Lineage: Eukaryota; Viridiplantae; Streptophyta; Magnoliopsida; Fabales; Fabaceae.
AACCAACCUAAUUAUUAUGAUUACCCUAAAUCUAGAAUCUAAUUGGACUUAAUUAACUAAAUUACCAUAGAAGACCAGUAGGGUGUAUGCCUGGACUUGUGGUUCAAACACCAGCAAUACACCAUUUGGGCCUGUUCUCAAUCUGUUAGCCUUGGGAUGUGCGAUGUUAGUUAAGGUUACAUAUCAUUGAGUUGGAGAAAAACUCUGGAUGAGAAGACAUUAACCGAGGGUUUGCAGAUCCGGUUCCAGAGAAAUGAAGGUUGGUGUAUUAUGAAUUUUGACUCGAUGUGCUGUUGAACGGAUUCACAAGGUUCUGAUUGGAGUCUUCACUUGGUAUGCUGAAAUUGGAGGGUUUACUACGGAAUUCCAAUGUAUAAGUUUUGAUGUUGGUUGUAUUGGUUUAUUCUUGGCCUGUUAUGGUGUGAGAAUUGCUGGCGGUGAGUUAGGAUUUGAAGAUAGUUAGGGUCUUAUUAUGAUUAGUUAUAGAUGAAAUAGUGAGUGAAAUGUUAACUCAAGUUCUGUUUUGAAAUGAAAUUACAAUGUAAAUCCAGUUAUUUUAGAAAUCCAAUGUUUAGUUGAAUCGACAAUGAGAUGUAACCGAAAUGCAAAAUUGUGAAAUUUUUCUCCUGGUUUUAUAAUGAAUGUAGUUAU